CAGUUUUUUUAGAUUCUAUAUUGUUUAUUUCUGCUCUGAUCUUUAUUAUUUCUCUUCUUCUGCUGGCUUUGGGCUUUAUUUACUGCUCCUUUUAUAGCUCCUUUAGGUGUAAGGUUAGGUUGUUAAUUUGGUAC
This is a long non-coding RNA of Prionailurus viverrinus (fishing cat), 134 nucleotides long. RefSeq lists it as uncharacterized. The record is from RefSeq and is a predicted model, not a curated record. NCBI's taxonomy places the organism in Eukaryota, Metazoa, Chordata, Mammalia, Carnivora, Felidae. The transcript has 3 exons.